CAAUAGCGUAUAUUAAAGUUGUUGCAGUUAAAAAGCUCGUAGUUGGAUUUCUGGUGGGAGCGAUCGGUCUGGCGCUUAGCGCGAGUACUUGCAUCGUCUCCGGCCAUCCUUGGGGAGAGUCUGUCUGGCAUUAAGUUGUCGGGCAGAGGAUCCUCAUCGUUUACUGUGAAAAAAUUAGAGUGUUCAAAGCAGGCUUAUGUCGUUGAAUAUAUUAGCAUGGAAUAAUAAGAUAGGACUUUGGUACUAUUUUGUUGGUUUGCGCACCAAAGUAAUGAUUAAUAGGGACAGUUGGGGGUAUUCGUAUUCCGUUGUCAGAGGUGAAAUUCUUGGAUUUACGGAAGACGAACUACUGCGAAAGCAUUUACCAAGGAUGUUUUCAUUAA
This 383-nucleotide ribosomal RNA is filed under the name uncultured eukaryote. RNAcentral describes it as "partial 18S ribosomal RNA". It matches the Rfam family "Eukaryotic small subunit ribosomal RNA", at positions 592 to 976 of the family's 1831-position model. The record is from RNAcentral.